GACGAACGCUGGCGGCGUGCUUAACACAUGCAAGUCGAACGGAAAGGCCCUUCGGGGUACUCGAGUGGCGAACGGGUGAGUAACACGUGGGUGAUCUGCCCUGCACUUUGGGAUAAGCCUGGGAAACUGGGUCUAAUACCGAAUAGGACCACGCGCUUCAUGGUGUGUGGUGGAAAGCUUUUGCGGUGUGGGAUGGGCCCGCGGCCUAUCAGCUUGUUGGUGGGGUAAUGGCCUACCAAGGCGGCGACGGGUAGCCGGCCUGAGAGGGUGACCGGCCACACUGGGACUGAGAUACGGCCCAGACUCCUACGGGAGGCAGCAGUGGGGAAUAUUGCACAAUGGGCGCAAGCCUGAUGCAGCGACGCCGCGUGAGGGAUGACGGCCUUCGGGUUGUAAACCUCUUUCAAUAGGGACGAAGCGCAAGUGACGGUACCUAUAGAAGAAGCACCGGCCAACUACGUGCCAGCAGCCGCGGUAAUACGUAGGGUGCGAGCGUUGUCCGGAAUUACUGGGCGUAAAGAGCUCGUAGGUGGUUUGUCGCGUUGUUCGUGAAAACUCACAGCUUAACUGUGGGCGUGCGGGCGAUACGGGCAGACUAGAGUACUGCAGGGGAGACUGGAAUUCCUGGUGUAGCGGUGGAAUGCGCAGAUAUCAGGAGGAACACCGGUGGCGAAGGCGGGUCUCUGGGCAGUAACUGACGCUGAGGAGCGAAAGCGUGGGGAGCGAACAGGAUUAGAUACCCUGGUAGUCCACGCCGUAAACGGUGGGUACUAGGUGUGGGUUCCUUCCUUGGGAUCCGUGCCGUAGCUAACGCAUUAAGUACCCCGCCUGGGGAGUACGGCCGCAAGGCUAAAACUCAAAGGAAUUGACGGGGGCCCGCACAAGCGGCGGAGCAUGUGGAUUAAUUCGAUGCAACGCGAAGAACCUUACCUGGGUUUGACAUGCACAGGACGCCGGCAGAGAUGUCGGUUCCCUUGUGGCCUGUGUGCAGGUGGUGCAUGGCUGUCGUCAGCUCGUGUCGUGAGAUGUUGGGUUAAGUCCCGCAACGAGCGCAACCCUUGUCCUAUGUCGCCAGCGGGUUAUGCCGGGGACUCGUAGGAGACUGCCGGGGUCAACUCGGAGGAAGGUGGGGAUGACGUCAAGUCAUCAUGCCCCUUAUGUCCAGGGCUUCACACAUGCUACAAUGGCCGGUACAAAGGGCUGCGAUGCCGUGAGGCGGAGCGAAUCCUUUCAAAGCCGGUCUCAGUUCGGAUCGGGGUCUGCAACUCGACCCCGUGAAGUCGGAGUCGCUAGUAAUCGCAGAUCAGCAACGCUGCGGUGAAUACGUUCCCGGGCCU
RNAcentral lists this ribosomal RNA (1337 nucleotides) under uncultured bacterium. RNAcentral's name for it is "bacterial SSU rRNA". It matches the Rfam family "Bacterial small subunit ribosomal RNA", at positions 28 to 1381 of the family's 1533-position model. The record is from RNAcentral.